UACGAAUGGGGCAAGCGUUGUUCGGAAUCACUGGGCUUAAAGCGUGCGUAGGCGGAUAUGAAAGUCAGAAGUGAAAGCCUGGGGCUUAACCCUAGAACUGCUUUUGAAACUUCAUAUCUCGAAUCCGGUAGAGGUCAGGAGAAUUCCUAGUGUAGAGGUGAAAUUCGCAGAUAUUAGGAGGAACACCAGUGGCGAAGGCGCCUGACUGGGCCGGUAUUGACGCUGAGGCACGAAAGCGUGGGGAGCAAACAGG
Molecule: ribosomal RNA, 253 nt
Filed under: uncultured bacterium
Lineage: Bacteria
Description: partial 16S ribosomal RNA
Rfam family: Bacterial small subunit ribosomal RNA
Source: RNAcentral